AACGAACGCUGGCAGCAUGCCUAACACAUGCAAGUCGAACGAGACCUUCGGGCCUAGUGGCGCACGGGUGCGUAACGCGUGGGAACCUGCCCUUAGGUUCGGAAUAACUCCCCGAAAGGGGUGCUAAUACCGGAUAAUGUCUUCGGACCAAAGAUUUAUCGCCUUUGGAUGGGCCCGCGUUGGUUUAGCUAGUUGGUAGGGUAAAAGCCUACCAAGGCGACGAUCCAUAGCUGGUCUGAGAGGAUGACCAGCCACACUGGAACUGAGACCCGGCCCACACCGGGAGGGAGAGGAGCGGUAGGGAGUAUUGUGGGAGGGGCGAUAGCGCAAUCAAGCAAUGCGGGGGGAGUGAUGAAGGCGUUAGGGUUGUACAUCUCUUUGACACGGAAUGAUAAUGACAGUACCGGGAAAAUAAGCACCGGCUAACUCCGUG
This 433-nucleotide ribosomal RNA is filed under the name uncultured bacterium. RNAcentral's name for it is "partial 16S ribosomal RNA". It matches the Rfam family "Bacterial small subunit ribosomal RNA", at positions 29 to 507 of the family's 1533-position model. The record is from RNAcentral.